Molecule: ribosomal RNA, 819 nt
Filed under: Serinicoccus sp. WS_11S
Lineage: Bacteria; Bacillati; Actinomycetota; Actinomycetes; Micrococcales; Ornithinimicrobiaceae
Description: bacterial SSU rRNA
Rfam family: Bacterial small subunit ribosomal RNA
Source: RNAcentral
CCUGGUGUAGCGGUGGAAUGCGCAGAUAUCAGGAGGAACACCGAUGGCGAAGGCAGGUCUCUGGGCCAUUACUGACGCUGAGAAGCGAAAGCGUGGGGAGCGAACAGGAUUAGAUACCCUGGUAGUCCACGCCGUAAACGUUGGGCGCUAGGUGUGGGUCCCAUUCCACGGGGUCCGUGCCGCAGCUAACGCAUUAAGCGCCCCGCCUGGGGAGUACGGCCGCAAGGCUAAAACUCAAAGGAAUUGACGGGGGCCCGCACAAGCGGCGGAGCAUGCGGAUUAAUUCGAUGCAACGCGAAGAACCUUACCAAGGCUUGACAUACACCGGACGACUGCAGAGAUGUGGUUUCCCUUUGUGGCUGGUGUACAGGUGGUGCAUGGUUGUCGUCAGCUCGUGUCGUGAGAUGUUGGGUUAAGUCCCGCAACGAGCGCAACCCUCGUUCCAUGUUGCCAGCAACACCUUUUAGGUGGUUGGGGACUCAUGGGAGACUGCCGGGGUCAACUCGGAGGAAGGUGGGGAUGACGUCAAAUCAUCAUGCCCCUUACGUCUUGGGCUUCACGCAUGCUACAAUGGCCGGUACAAAGGGCUGCGAUCCCGUGAGGGGGAGCGAAUCCCAGAAAGCCGGUCUCAGUUCGGAUUGGGGUCUGCAACUCGACCCCAUGAAGUCGGAGUCGCUAGUAAUCGCAGAUCAGCAACGCUGCGGUGAAUACGUUCCCGGGCCUUGUACACACCGCCCGUCAAGUCACGAAAGUCGGUAACACCCGAAGCCGGUGAGCCCAACCCUUGUGGAGGAGCUUCGUAUAGUGAAACCCCUCCGA